CGUUCGAUUUCGGAGAGGGAGCAUAGAAACGGCUACCACAUCUAAGGAAGGCAGCAGGCGCGUAAAUUACCCAAUCCUGACUCAGGGAGGUAGUGACAAGAAAUAGCAAACCGGGAACCUCAUGGUUUCACGGUAUUGCAAUGAGAACAAUUUAAAACCCUUAGCGAGAAUCAAGUGGAGGACAAGUCUGGUGCCAGCACCCGCGGUAAUUCCAGCUCCACUAGCGUAUAUUAAAGUUGUUGCAGUUAAAAAGCUCGUAGUUGAACCUCUGUCUGGGGCUAGUUUUGGCUUUGGUCAGGCUAGUUCUAGGCAUCAUCCUACAAGACUUAGAGGGCAUUCAGUUGUCCACUAGGAGGAGUAGGCAUUUUACUUUGAAAAAAUUAGAGUGUUUAAGGCAGGCAAUCGCCCGCAUAUAUUAGCAUGGAAUAAUAGAAUAGGACACUUUUCCAUUUCGUUGGUUAUUGGAAUCGUGUAAUGAUUAAUAGGGACAGUUGUGGGCAUUUGUAUUUAAUUGUCAGAGGUGAAAUUCUUGGAUUUAUUAAAGACAAACUAACGCGAAAGCAUUUGCCAAGGAUGUUUUCAUUAAUCAAGAACGAAAGUUAGGGGAUCAAAGACGAUCAGAUACCGUCCUAGUCUUAACUAUAAACUAUUCCGACUCAAUGUUUGACUGGCUUAUAUAACCAGUUGAGCGUUGUAUGAGAAAUCAAAGUCUUUAGGUUCUGGGGGGAGUAUGGUUGCAAAGCUGAAACUUAAAGGAAUUGACGGAAGAGCACAACCAGGAGUGGAUUCUGCGGCUUAAUUUGACUCAACACGGGGAAACUUACCAGGUUAAAACAAUAGUGGGAUUGACAGUUUGAGAGCGCUUUCUUGAUUGGUUGGGUGGUGGUGCAUGGCCGUUCUUAGUUGGUGGAGUGAUUUGUCUGCUUAAUUGCGUUAACGAACGAGACCUUAACCUGCUUACUAGACUGGCGAUCAUCAAUCGUUAGCUCUUCUUAGAGGGACUUUGGUUGUUUUAACUCCAAGGAAGUUUGAGGCAAUAACAGGUCUGUGAUGCCCUUAGAUAUCCUGGGCCGCACGCGUCAUACAAUGACUAGUUCAGAAAGUUUUCUCCUGACCCGAAAGGGGAUGGGUAAUCUUGAUAAUACUAGUCGUGUUAGGGAUCGAUCUUUACAAUUAUGGAUCUUGAACGAGGAAUUCCUAGUAAGUGCGGUUCAUCAGACCGUACUGAUUACGUCCCUGCUCUUUGUACACACCGCCCGUCGCUUCUACCGAGUGGGUGGUCCGGUGAGAUAAUUGAACUUCGCAGGUAACUGAGAGGAAAGACUAUCAAACCUAUCCACCUCGAGGAAGAAGAAGUCGUAACAAGGUU
Molecule: ribosomal RNA, 1369 nt
Filed under: metagenome
Description: SSU rRNA
Rfam family: Eukaryotic small subunit ribosomal RNA
Source: RNAcentral